This 1406-nucleotide ribosomal RNA is filed under the name Salmonella enterica. RNAcentral's name for it is "partial 23S ribosomal RNA". It matches the Rfam family "Bacterial large subunit ribosomal RNA", at positions 931 to 2319 of the family's 2925-position model. The record is from RNAcentral. Lineage: Bacteria; Pseudomonadati; Pseudomonadota; Gammaproteobacteria; Enterobacterales; Enterobacteriaceae.
CCGGCUUACCAACCCGAUGCAAACUGCGAAUACCGGAGAAUGUUAUCACGGGAGACACACGGCGGGUGCUAACGUCCGUCGUGAAGAGGGAAACAACCCAGACCGCCAGCUAAGGUCCCAAAGUCAUGGUUAAGUGGGAAACGAUGUGGGAAGGCCCAGACAGCCAGGAUGUUGGCUUAGAAGCAGCCAUCAUUUAAAGAAAGCGUAAUAGCUCACUGGUCGAGUCGGCCUGCGCGGAAGAUGUAACGGGGCUAAACCAUGCACCGAAGCUGCGGCAGCGACACUGUGUGUUGUUGGGUAGGGGAGCGUUCUGUAAGCCUGUGAAGGUGUGUCGUGAGGCAUGCUGGAGGUAUCAGAAGUGCGAAUGCUGACAUAAGUAACGAUAAAGCGGGUGAAAAGCCCGCUCGCCGGAAGACCAAGGGUUCCUGUCCAACGUUAAUCGGGGCAGGGUGAGUCGACCCCUAAGGCGAGGCCGAAAGGCGUAGUCGAUGGGAAACGGGUUAAUAUUCCCGUACUUGGUGUUACUGCGAAGGGGGGACGGAGAAGGCUAUGUUGGCCGGGCGACGGUUGUCCCGGUUUAAGCGUGUAGGUGUGUGUUCCAGGUAAAUCCGGUUCACUUUAACACUGAGGCGUGACGACGAGGCACUACGGUGCUGAAGCAACAAAUGCCCUGCUUCCAGGAAAAGCCUCUAAGCAUCAGGUAACAUCAAAUCGUACCCCAAACCGACACAGGUGGUCAGGUAGAGAAUACCAAGGCGCUUGAGAGAACUCGGGUGAAGGAACUAGGCAAAAUGGUGCCGUAACUUCGGGAGAAGGCACGCUGACACGUAGGUGAAGUGAUUUACUCAUGGAGCUGAAGUCAGUCGAAGAUACCAGCUGGCUGCAACUGUUUAUUAAAAACACAGCACUGUGCAAACACGAAAGUGGACGUAUACGGUGUGACGCCUGCCCGGUGCCGGAAGGUUAAUUGAUGGGGUCAGCGCAAGCGAAGCUCCUGAUCGAAGCCCCGGUAAACGGCGGCCGUAACUAUAACGGUCCUAAGGUAGCGAAAUUCCUUGUCGGGUAAGUUCCGACCUGCACGAAUGGCGUAAUGAUGGCCAGGCUGUCUCCACCCGAGACUCAGUGAAAUUGAACUCGCUGUGAAGAUGCAGUGUACCCGCGGCAAGACGGAAAGACCCCGUGAACCUUUACUAUAGCUUGACACUGAACAUUGAGCCUUGAUGUGUAGGAUAGGUGGGAGGCUUUGAAGUGUGGACGCCAGUCUGCAUGGAGCCGACCUUGAAAUACCACCCUUUAAUGUUUGAUGUUCUAACGUGGACCCGUUACCCGGGUUGCGGACAGUGUCUGGUGGGUAGUUUGACUGGGGCGGUCUCCUCCUAAAGAGUAACGGAGGAGCACGAAGGUUG